GAGAGUUCCUGUCUUUGGUUAGGACAUCGUCUUUUCAUGUCGAAGACCGGGGUUCGAUUCCCGUAAGGGAUG
This 72-nucleotide transfer RNA is filed under the name Heuchera parviflora var. saurensis. RNAcentral describes it as "tRNA-Glu". Lineage: Eukaryota; Viridiplantae; Streptophyta; Magnoliopsida; Saxifragales; Saxifragaceae. The record is from RNAcentral.